AUUGAACGCUGGCGGCAGGCCUAACACAUGCAAGUCGAACGGUAGCACAGAGAGCUUGCUCUCGGGUGACGAGUGGCAGACGGGUGAGUAAUGUCUGGGAAACUGCCCGAUGGAGGGGGAUAACUACUGGAAACGGUAGCUAAUACCGCAUAACGUCGCAAGACCAAAGUGGGGGACCUUCGGGCCUCACACCAUCGGAUGUGCCCAGAUGGGAUUAGCUAGUAGGUGGGGUAAUGGCUCACCUAGGCGACGAUCCCUAGCUGGUCUGAGAGGAUGACCAGCCACACUGGAACUGAGACACGGUCCAGACUCCUACGGGAGGCAGCAGUGGGGAAUAUUGCACAAUGGGCGCAAGCCUGAUGCAGCCAUGCCGCGUGUAUGAAGAAGGCCUUCGGGUUGUAAAGUACUUUCAGCGGGGAGGAAGGCGGUGAAGUUAAUAACUUCACCGAUUGACGUUACCCGCAGAAGAAGCACCGGCUAACUCCGUGCCAGCAGCCGCGGUAA
This 504-nucleotide ribosomal RNA is filed under the name uncultured bacterium. RNAcentral describes it as "partial 16S ribosomal RNA". It matches the Rfam family "Bacterial small subunit ribosomal RNA", at positions 30 to 523 of the family's 1533-position model. The record is from RNAcentral.